This 1030-nucleotide ribosomal RNA is filed under the name Staphylococcus aureus. RNAcentral's name for it is "partial 23S ribosomal RNA". It matches the Rfam family "Bacterial large subunit ribosomal RNA", at positions 1585 to 2616 of the family's 2925-position model. The record is from RNAcentral. Lineage: Bacteria; Bacillati; Bacillota; Bacilli; Caryophanales; Staphylococcaceae.
UUCGAGUCGUUGAUUUCACACUGCCGAGAAAAGCCUCUAGAUAGAAAAUAGGUGCCCGUACCGCAAACCGACACAGGUAGUCAAGAUGAGAAUUCUAAGGUGAGCGAGCGAACUCUCGUUAAGGAACUCGGCAAAAUGACCCCGUAACUUCGGGAGAAGGGGUGCUCUUUAGGGUUAACGCCCAGAAGAGCCGCAGUGAAUAGGCCCAAGCGACUGUUUAUCAAAAACACAGGUCUCUGCUAAACCGUAAGGUGAUGUAUAGGGGCUGACGCCUGCCCGGUGCUGGAAGGUUAAGAGGAGUGGUUAGCUUCUGCGAAGCUACGAAUCGAAGCCCCAGUAAACGGCGGCCGUAACUAUAACGGUCCUAAGGUAGCGAAAUUCCUUGUCGGGUAAGUUCCGACCCGCACGAAAGGCGUAACGAUUUGGGCACUGUCUCAACGAGAGACUCGGUGAAAUCAUAGUACCUGUGAAGAUGCAGGUUACCCGCGACAGGACGGAAAGACCCCGUGGAGCUUUACUGUAGCCUGAUAUUGAAAUUCGGCACAGCUUGUACAGGAUAGGUAGGAGCCUUUGAAACGUGAGCGCUAGCUUACGUGGAGGCGCUGGUGGGAUACUACCCUAGCUGUGUUGGCUUUCUAACCCGCACCACUUAUCGUGGUGGGAGACAGUGUCAGGCGGGCAGUUUGACUGGGGCGGUCGCCUCCUAAAAGGUAACGGAGGCGCUCAAAGGUUCCCUCAGAAUGGUUGGAAAUCAUUCAUAGAGUGUAAAGGCAUAAGGGAGCUUGACUGCGAGACCUACAAGUCGAGCAGGGUCGAAAGACGGACUUAGUGAUCCGGUGGUUCCGCAUGGAAGGGCCAUCGCUCAACGGAUAAAAGCUACCCCGGGGAUAACAGGCUUAUCUCCCCCAAGAGUUCACAUCGACGGGGAGGUUUGGCACCUCGAUGUCGGCUCAUCGCAUCCUGGGGCUGUAGUCGGUCCCAAGGGUUGGGCUGUUCGCCCAUUAAAGCGGUACGCGAGCUGGGUUCAGAA